AUUGAACGCUGGCGGCAGGCUUAACACAUGCAAGUCGAGCGGUAACAGAGAGUAGUUUACUAUUCUGCUGACGAGCGGCGGACGGGUGAGUAAUGCCUAGGAAUCUGCCUAGUAGUGGGGGAUAACUUGCCGAAAGGUAAGCUAAUACCGCAUACGACCUACGGGAGAAAGGGGGCAACUUGUUGCUCUCGCUAUUAGGUGAGCCUAAGUCGGAUUAGCUAGAUGGUGGGGUAAAGGCCUACCAUGGCGACGAUCUGUAGCUGGUCUGAGAGGAUGAUCAGCCACACCGGGACUGAGACACGGCCCGG
RNAcentral lists this ribosomal RNA (308 nucleotides) under uncultured bacterium. RNAcentral describes it as "bacterial SSU rRNA". It matches the Rfam family "Bacterial small subunit ribosomal RNA", at positions 30 to 334 of the family's 1533-position model. The record is from RNAcentral.